AUUGAACGCUGGCGGCAGGCCUAACACAUGCAAGUCGAGCGGUAGAGAGGUGCUUGCAUCUCUUGAGAGCGGCGGACGGGUGAGUAAUGCCUAGGAAUCUGCCUAGUGGUGGGGGAUAACGUUCGGAAACGGACGCUAAUACCGCAUACGUCCUACGGGAGAAAGCGGGGGAUCUUCGGACCUCGCGCCAUUAGAUGAGCCUAGGUCGGAUUAGCUAGUUGGUGAGGUAAUGGCUCACCAAGGCGACGAUCCGUAACUGGUCUGAGAGGAUGAUCAGUCACACUGGAACUGAGACACGGUCCAGACUCCUACGGGAGGCAGCAGUGGGGAAUAUUGGACAAUGGGACGAAGACCUGAUCCAGCAAUGCCGCGUGCAGGA
RNAcentral lists this ribosomal RNA (379 nucleotides) under uncultured bacterium. RNAcentral describes it as "bacterial SSU rRNA". It matches the Rfam family "Bacterial small subunit ribosomal RNA", at positions 30 to 408 of the family's 1533-position model. The record is from RNAcentral.